Manis pentadactyla (Chinese pangolin) is the source of this 2364-nucleotide long non-coding RNA. RefSeq lists it as uncharacterized. NCBI's taxonomy places the organism in Eukaryota, Metazoa, Chordata, Mammalia, Pholidota, Manidae. The transcript is spliced from 2 exons. The record is from RefSeq and is a predicted model, not a curated record.
GUCUGCCCUUGUACUACACGCUGGAUUUCAGGCUGAGGCCUGUCAACUGGAACUGAAGUCUGGACAGCUCUUCCCAGGCAGCGGCGGCUCCUGCUGGAGAGGUUUCCACUUUUAGGAGGAACGGCACAUUUCCAUGCAUGAACAUUCGCACUGCUCCCUCGCCCCCUAACCUGCGCGCCGCAGGGUGAAGAAUCGCCGGUCCCAUCCACCAGCCGAGGGCAGCUCGCAAACCCUCAGAGAGCACGACUUCUCCGUUCACGCCCACAAAGGAAAUAAAAGAACAAAAUUAAUGAUAAUUGAGCAGAUCUGAACUUCUGUUCGGGCAAAGAAACACAUUUAUUUAAAUGAUGCGUCCCCUGUGCGCUAUUUUCAGGGGGCACUGCUCCUUUAGCGGCCUAAGUGCCUUGUGAAAGUAGUGUUAUGUGAAACCUGGCUGCGCUCAAGACUAUUUUUACUGCAUCCUGAACUUCCUCUCAUCGUUUAUUGGUAUGUGAAUAUGUUCCGCGCAUCUCAACCUAUUUGUCAAACAUGCUGAAUGCCCGUGUCACUGAUUUAGAUGUUGGCAGGUUGGAUGAAAUAGAAGACAAGCUGUGCUGUGUGUGCAUCAGCAAUUAAAGCGUGCGGUCAAAAGCGUUUAUUUACCAUGCCCGCGGUUCCCCGAUGGGCCUAGGGGGUUCAUAGAACCUUUUUUUAAAUCUUAUGAAUAACUUAAUAAUAUUGUUUCUUUCUCACAAUUUAAGUUAAAGUACACUCCAAGUAAAGAAUUAUUUCUGACUUUAAAUAUUGCGAUUAGCGUUUAGUUAUGAGAAUGUAAAAAUAAUGCCCCAAAAUAAUGCCCAGAUGUUAAGUAGGACUGUGUAAAUAUUCAACUUUAUUGCUCUCUUAGAAAUACGUAUUUCUUGGGACAAUAAUAAGCUCAUACGUAAAACCAAAUUAAGUUCAGACUUGUAUGAGCAAACAAACAAUAUGACGGUGUUGCUUGACUGAAUUAUACAUGUGGAAAAUUGUUUUGCAGCAAUUUCUCAGGUACUGUGUUUUUAUUCACAAAAAAAGAUAUUCUUAACAGAUUUACAGGUUUUUGUUUUAAGUUGUUUUUUAGGAGGGCUGUUUGGACUGUAUAUAAUAUUCUGAGCAAUGAAGAGGAAAAGUCUCUUAGAACCACAGCAACAGUGAGAAAUAGUUAUCUUAAUAAGAUGAUAAAACUACAAAGACAUGUUUAUUGUUAAUAACUUUUCCAGAACCACACCUCUUUAUAUUAUUUUUGUUAAAUGUAGAGGAAUUCCAUUACAUCACAACUGCACCAGGUUCUGCAGCAGAAAGCAGCUUGCUAGUUCCCCAAGGGUCGAGUUUCUCUCAUUAUCCAGCUGUUCUUUGAUAGCAUUAAUAUUUUAAGGAGUGAUUUGUUGCCGCUUACCUCCCAUUAAUUACCUUCUCCAUGCCACAGUGGGAUUCUUUUCCUUAGGACACCAGCUAUAAUUAAUUCCUUCAUUCAAAGCCCCUGUCUAUUUGACUUAUUUAGAGGGCAUUUUACUCACAUUUAGUUGCAUAUUGACUAAUGGAAAGUAACCAGACCUCCAAAUUACUUGAUACUCCAUAAAUUUGAUGUGUAUGAACAUUAAAGCAACUGUGUGAUACACUUCCAUAUCUCUGUCCUGAUACAAGUGCCUUUAAAGCAUUACAGCAAUCAGCUUCAGGGUGUGCUCAGGGGAAAAAAGUAAUGUAUUUGGUUCCUUGUCACAGAAGAGCUCAAGUUUUACAUCAACAAAUUUUAACCUCAAAAGUGAUGUUCUCAAAAUGCCCUUUGUGAUCAGUAGACGAAUAUACACUUCUUUUUAGGGUUAUGAACAUCCAAAGUUUCUGUUUUUCUGUUACCAUUAAUAGGAAAGGAAGAUGAAGAAGUUCUCGUUGACCACCCUCAAAGACUGUAGGGUGAGGACAUGGAGAUGGAAAAUAAAAUCCACACCGCCAGGGAUAUUACACAGAGGUUUUAGAAAUUCUAUAUUUUUUCUUAUCUCAGUAACAGAAAUUCCAUAUUUUGGUGAAGAACACAAUUGUAAGGGGUGAUUUCCUCAGCCUACAUUCUCCUGUGGCCCUGCUGCCAGGAAACUCAAGGAAAUGAGUUAAAUGAUAUGAUGUCUGGGAUUUGCUUUAAUAAACGCCAGCAAAAGAGAAAAGGGGUGGGUUGGGGGUGGUGAGGGGGGAAGGAAGAAAGGAAGGGAAGAAGAAGAGAAAAAGAAAAGGUACAGGAGAAAUGCAGAUAUGGAGAUGGGACAGAUGAAACUGAGACACAAUCGGCAAAUGUUGCUAAUUGUAGCUGGCAGAAGGGUACUUGUCAAAUGGAAAUGCAAGUCUAUUUUUCCUGUA